AUUGAACGCUGGCGGCAGGCCUAACACAUGCAAGUCGAGCGGAUGAAGGGAGCUUGCUCCUGGAUUCAGCGGCGGACGGGUGAGUAAUGCCUAGGAAUCUGCCUGGUAGUGGGGGAUAACGUCCGGAAGCGGGCGCUAAUACCGCAUACGUCCUGAGGGAGAAAGUGGGGGAUCUUCGGACCUCACGCUAUCAGAUGAGCCUAGGUCGGAUUAGCUAGUUGGUGGGGUAAAGGCCUACCAAGGCGACGAUCCGUAACUGGUCUGAGAGGAUGAUCAGUCACACUGGAACUGAGACACGGUCCAGACUCCUACGGGAGGCAGCAGUGGGGAAUAUUGGACAAUGGGCGAAAGCCUGAUCCAGCCAUGCCGCGUGUAUGAAGAAGGUCUUCGGAUUGUAAAGCACUUUAAGUUGGGAGGAAGGGCAGUAAGUUAAUACCUUGCUGUUUUGACGUUACCAACAGAAUAAGCACCGGCUAACUUCGUG
Molecule: ribosomal RNA, 484 nt
Filed under: uncultured bacterium
Lineage: Bacteria
Description: partial 16S ribosomal RNA
Rfam family: Bacterial small subunit ribosomal RNA
Source: RNAcentral